Long non-coding RNA from Rhopalosiphum padi (bird cherry-oat aphid), 2253 nucleotides. RefSeq lists it as uncharacterized. The transcript has 3 exons. The record is from RefSeq and is a predicted model, not a curated record. Lineage: Eukaryota; Metazoa; Arthropoda; Insecta; Hemiptera; Aphididae.
GUAUGUGUUCGUAUAUUAACUCUAUAUAAUUUUAUAAUACAGUCUAUUCGAUACAUUUAUUAUAUUGCAGUCGUUAUAAUAAUAAACUAUUCGCAUUAUAUCAUCGUCAUAACACAGAUAAAUCUUUUUUUUUAUCGAAUAAUAAUAUCACCGUGGGCGUAACGUUCUUUUUUAUUUUUCGAUUAGGUGUGCAUUUAUAGUUUUGGAUCCAAUAAGAUCAAGCCAAAUGAUACUUCGCAAUCGAAUCGCGUUGACUAACGUCGUCAAUAAUGUUCUAAUUAUAUUAUAUGAUCAAAAUAUGACGCCUCGUCGAUGCCUUCGUAUUUCAUCUAUCAUAUUAUUAUCUAAAUGCACGGAAAACAACACAAAAAGUCACUUCAGUCGCCGUCGGGUCGCGUAUGCAAUAUUUGUUGGACAAUCGCGAUCGAAUAUCAGUUUCAACAUUAAAUGCGUCUUGUUUACACGGAAACACCUUGCAGGGAUGUUCGUCGGUUAUCGAAUAACAAAACCAAACUGCAUGUAACACAUUUCAAUACAUAAAAACGUAACAUACGAAGCGCAACGAUAAGUAUCGAAAUAACUACAAUUGUAAAUGCAUAUCCCCCGAGCAGUGGGCAUUGCGACUUGCGAGUCAUCAAAGAAGAAUCAUUGACAGAAAAAUAAUAAUUAAUGAAAACGUAUUGUAGUGGCAACAACAACAAAAUCAUUGAGUAUUACGUCAAAUUAUAUAUUUAUAUGUAUCUAUAGAGGUAGUUUUAUAGAUUUUACUCGCCUUAAUUGCUGUACAUCAUCUAGUAUCGGAACUACUAUCCAAACAACCAUGUAACAAAAAUUCAAAAUUCACAUUGGCAUUAAUUGGGAACCUAUAGUCCCUCAAAAACUCAUUUAAGCCCCAAUAUAAAUAAUUGGAACCCAAGUUUCCUAAAAUUGUCCUCGUCAUUAAUGAUUAUGAUAAUAAUACGACGCUACUAUACACUUAUUAUUGAAUGUAUAUCUACUGUAGAAGAAGUUAUAAUAUAGUAGUACCUAUAACUGAAGUAGUGUUUAGUAUUAUGUUUGUGUAUAGUAUUAUUAAUGGUUGUAUUAGCUGUAGUUUUUAUAGAACCCUGUCCGUCGGUGCGAUACCAACUCUGACUCGUUUGAAUAAUUGUUUUAAUUACUAUACAACCUAGCUCAUAUGAUAAUAAUAUACGACGUAUACUGUUGUCACACGCUCGCUAACGUUCGUCAGCUGCAACAGCCGCUCGUAAUAAAAAAUAUGAUAUAAUGUAUUAUUAUUAUAACUCUCGAGACACACGCAGAGCGGUCACAUAUUAUACUGCGUAACAUUAUAGUGCGACGAGCGCUUUUGAUUUGGUAGGAAAAAAUAUUUGGUUGGAGCGCAAGAAAGAAACUAAUUUUUUGUCUUCCUUAAAAGAUGCUCGUGCGACCACCGGAGAGAUCGUCUUCGUCACCGCCACACAUGUGUAUCACAAAUGUCAGCGGGAGAGCUGUACGGGUCUGUUUUUUUCGCUCUUGUCUUUUAUUGUGAUGGCAUUUUUUUUAGACGAUUAAUCGUCAUUGCUCUCACUCACGCAAAGAAAAUACAUGAAAUAUGUUGAUGUUUUCGGUCCAUGUUAUAUUGUUUGUGUAUUUGUAUGGUGAUUUUUUUAAGGAUGCUCGCUUCAUGGUUUUAUAAUAAUAUACCUAUUUAUUCUCCGAAUUCUGAUUUUUUGAAUUUUUAGGACACUUUAAAAAUCUUAUUUUCAACACUAUUGUCUAUUUAAGAUUGACCUAAUAUGAUUAUAAAACUACAUAUCACUAAACUAAAGCAAAUAUUUUUUGAAAUGUCAAUGUAUUGAAUUAAAACGAGUUCCUGAUUAUUUUACUGUAUAUGUUAAGGUACAAAAGAUAAUAUUGAAUAUUUAAGUUUAAUAUUACAAAAAAGUAUAAUUCAAAAAUGUCCACGAAAAAUUUCACAAAGCAGCUGAUGGAGCACUCCACUAUAAAAUUGGCAGAAGAUCCACCAAUCUAAGAUUAAAACCAUGGCUACCGCAGGAUAUUCUACUUGAACCUAAAGAAGACACUUCGGAUUCAGAUUUAGACCUAGACUUAUAAGCCAACUAAAAUGAAUAAUUAUUGUAAUUAUCGUAAAUAUUGCUGUAAACAUAAUUGUGAACAUAUUAAUCGUAAAUUGUGAUUAACAUUGUAAAAAUACCUGGUGUAUUGACACAAUUAAAUAAAUAAAUAAAUAAAAAAAUAUAUAAAAAAGUA